Long non-coding RNA from Bombus pyrosoma, 2664 nucleotides. RefSeq lists it as uncharacterized. Lineage: Eukaryota; Metazoa; Arthropoda; Insecta; Hymenoptera; Apidae. The record is from RefSeq and is a predicted model, not a curated record. The transcript is spliced from 2 exons.
AUUAGCGUCCCCGUAAUCCCAUAAACGUUCGUAAAGGGAAGCCCUGAGAAAGUGUCGCGUCUGAGGUAAACGACGAGACAGGAGUGCGAUGUAUACGUAUAUUAUUUGCAAGCGAGUACGAGAUUGAUAUUUUGGGAGACCCCACGCGAGGCACACGGCACCAAUGAACGUGCCAGAGAACUGUGAGUAUUUUGUGCGAAAUUGGGAUCGCGUUUUCUUACCCCGUCUCCUUACAAUUCUUUUUCCCUCUACAACGUAAGAUUCCAAGAUUUUGGGGAUAACAAUAGCGGGUCCAAGAUCGCCAGUGGCCUCGGCCAGAGUCGAGGCUGAGGGAUAUUAUGCAACCGUCGCGUCGCGUCAGUGGCAUAUUUUCCAUCGUUUCAUGUUAGAACCAGGUGGCAUUUGUUUUUUUAUUUCACGUAGAAUGAAUCUGAUACCAGUCGGCGAGUAAUUUCGCACACCGCCGUUGUCUCGCGGCCAAAAGCGAAUGGCCAUUAGUUUUACGACUUCGUCGCCGCUAUUCCAGGUCGGUUAUUUGACAAAUAACGAGCAAGAAUUCGGAACCAUCAGUGAAAACACGAGACACCGUGAUUUAGCUCGUCGCUCUUCGGGAGCAUAGAAGGGGCCCCUCCAGGAUGAUCUACGAGAGAAGUCCUCUCGGAGACAUACACCGGAAUUCCUCGAUUUCGGAGGGCGAAGGGUAUCUCGGUGAUGUGCGUGCUACAUCCAUAAGAUAUCCUCGGGAUCUGGACCGAACUCUUGGUGUCACUCGGGUAAUCCUCUGGGCUGACGUCACACACCCGGGGGACGAAAGAGAGGAAAGAGACGAGACGAGAAGUUAAAACGACUUCCUAGGGGGGGCACCCACCACCCACGCGCACCCACUGGUCCACAACGGUGGCGUAGCCCGUUUAGCAGGCUGAAAGGCGUCGCGGGCCCUGGCCGAGCGGCACGUACUCGAGGAGGCGGUGAUCACGCGAUUAUCGGCUUAUCCAUGCGGCCGGAUGGCGGCCAGAGAACUGUUUUAUUUUCCGUGGGCAAACCGUUCGGACCCGGGGUAAACUAGUGGCCGUUCGGCUCGUUAUGUCGACGUAACGUUCGACUUGAGGAGCGAACUGUGGCUAAGGCUAAAGUUAGCUCGAAUGUCCCUGGACGCGAAUCUCUGUCCUUAAUGCAGCGUACGCGUCGCGAUCGAUCACUCGCUCGAGAUAAUUAACGGAGCCCGAUUUGGCAGUCGCCGCGUGCGACGUCCGAUCAUCGGCCGCGCGAUUAAUUGCGAUCGAUGCCGAGCUCUAAUGAGCCAAUCCGUUAACCAUCGUUCCUCGUCGUGUUCGGAAACGUUGGCGCGGGGGCGUCGUUUCGAUAUCUGCACGACGUCGCGACGAGAGAACGAGAGUUUGGCACCUUUGGUCGCGAUCGUUUCGCAAAAACGAACGAUUCGCCGCUUGCAAUUUGAUUCGCGUCCAAGCGCAUCUGUAAAAUCGAUCAUACAGCAACUAGCACGGUCAGUGCGAGCUCUAGUCGCCGCCAUUCUUUUCGUUUACGUCGUCCCAUCUUUCGUCGCGAAACUUUCGAGCGAGAGAAAGUUUCCAGGAUUCAAGUUCAAUUGCGGCGUGACCUUUGAUCCGUUACGUCGAUCAAUUAACCCAAUCCCAUUCAUCGUUGCGCUCUCUCUUUCUCUAUGUUCGUUCGAACUCGACGGAGCUCCGGCGUGGAAAUUCCGGCUUGUUUACGUGGCCGAGAUGCGCGGCCGAAUUUCUGGCGUUACUCGGACGACUUUAUUUUGGUUACCUCAUCGGUUACGAAUCAACGAGUCGAGCCGAUCUUCGAUACACGUUUUGCGCGCGGUACGUCUCUCUGGCGCACGUCCAAACAGAUAUCGAAACACCCAACGUCCAGCUUAUCGAACUCUCGAUGAUCUAUAUUUGCGCCGUACCGCAACACUGUCCGAUUGUUCCUUAAAAAUCGUUUGCCUUCGUUUGUAUGCUUUUCGUCCGACCGUAUCGACGUAUAGAAUAAGAUGAUAGAAAUCGAUAGGCUAGGAAAAAAAACGCGAUAAAGUUUCGAAUUGCGUAUCAUGAUAGCGUAUGACGCGUAAACACUGGCGUCACGAUGGCGUCAGUUUUCAUUGCACGAUUUAUCGAACACGAUCCGGUGGAGUAAAUUGAUUUACGAUUACGUUUCCCGCGCAGAGAACACCGCUGGUUAUGCAAAACGACUGCGUCACGUUCGUUUGAUCUGUCGUGUAAAUACGAAGAAGUGGACGGAGCGAUUCCGUGUGCUUUUCUUUCGCAAUGAUCGAAGGAGCGCUGUUUGGAUUAUGAGUAUCUUUAUUUCCGGAGCUAAAAGAGGGUCCAACGGGACGAACGAGAGCUUUGCCCUCUGCCUCUCUCCAUACUUGAUCCAUCGAAUCUAUUUCUAACGUUAGACAGGAUUUUUCCUGUAAUUUGUAUAGUUAAUCGAGUGGAACGACUUCUGAAUGGAAAGCGUCGAACAUACGAUAAGCAGGCGCAAGGUUAUCGCUCUCUGCCGGAAAGAAGAUCUCCACGUCUCAUGAGGUUCCUGCUGCUGUCGAACGAAAAGCUGGCCGUGUGAUCGAUGGUCGAAUCAUUUCGUCCACACCUGGCACUUGGUCGAGUAAAUAAAUCAUCGACGAAAAUAAAA